UCCGAGUUGACCCCGGCAGUCUCCCAUGAGUCCCCACCAUUACGUGCUGGCAACAUGGAACGAGGGUUGCGCUCGUUGCGGGACUUAACCCAACAUCUCACGACACGAGCUGACGACAACCAUGCACCACCUGUACACCGCCCCGAAGGACCCCACAUCUCUGUGAGUUUUCAGUGCAUGUCAAGCCUUGGUAAGGUUCUUCGCGUUGCAUCGAAUUAAGCCGCAUGCUCCGCCGCUUGUGCGGGCCCCCGUCAAUUCCUUUGAGUUUUAGCCUUGCGGCCGUACUCCCCAGGCGGGGCGCUUAAUGCGUUAGCUGCGGCACGGAGAUCGUGGAAAGACCCCCACACCUAGCGCCCAACGUUUACAGCGUGGACUAC
RNAcentral lists this unclassified non-coding RNA (377 nucleotides) under uncultured Actinomycetes bacterium. RNAcentral describes it as "uncultured actinobacterium contains 16S-23S intergenic spacer region". Lineage: Bacteria; Bacillati; Actinomycetota; Actinomycetes. The record is from RNAcentral.